GCCUUUAUAAAACUCCUUCCAAAUCUAAUACUUGAGGCACACUAUUGGAAUUUGAAAUCUAAAUCAAUGUAUACCUUAGCUAAAACCCAACACACCCAAAGGAUCCCUUCAAACACUAGCAGAGUAAUAAUUUCAUAAUAAUUACUCAAAUCCAGAAAACAAAAGGAAACAACAUUGAUAUUUGAGAUUAAAAAAAUGUAUCUGAGGGAUAAUCUACUCAGUUAUGUCAUUCUCUUCAACUUGUUUAUCUAGUUGAACCAUAAUAGUUCUUAGUAAAACAACACCCUCCUAUACAAGUGAAUAACUCUCUUCAAACAACAUUCACUCAAAGUAUCAAUUCUCUAGCCUUUGUACAUAAUUACCUAGGUCGACACCCAAUUCCAACCUCAUAAGAGUGCCAUGAAAUGCUUGCUUAAUAGUUUAUAGCAAUCUCUUUUAUAUUGCUUGCAAUAAAGCUCAAAUCUCAAUUAGCUAAAUCUUUCAAAUAAACCCUCUAUCUCAUUGUUGUCAGCAUUUACAACAUGAGAUAUUCCUUAUGGGACUAAAAUAUCAAUGUUUGGAACCACCGAGGAGGGAUGGCAUUAAUCACAUUUCACCACAAUGGACUCACCGACAUCCCAUCGAUCAUCAUAUCAUUUUCCUUUAAGACUAUUCCUCACCAAUCACUAGUUGUUAAACACUUAAUUGUAAUUGACUUGUCUUUCAAAUACAGCAUAUAUAUUAGGGUAACUUCUUUACAGAGUUUAUUAAAUUAAAUUUCAACGUGCUAGGUCAUUAGCUGCCAUUUUUGGACACAAUAAAUGGAUCAGAAGAUAUGAGUUCUAACAAGGAAAGAAAAGUAAAAAACAAGAAAUGACAUAAACGUAAAUGAUUUUACAUAGCUGAGUCUAUAGACCUACAUUCACAGAUAUUAUAUAAUCACCUUUAAACAGGAGACGCAACAAAAUAGAUGAUUGCCUAACAACCCAUAAUCAUAAUAGAAGUUACACACAAACAUAAGCAAACAUGUGAUCACACAGACAAAGAAAAAAAACAUAUACUAAACAAAUCACGUCAAUCUAGGAUAUCUAAAUAAAUCACUCUCUGCUGCAUCGCUCCCCUUUUAAAAAUAAGCAGGUUUAAGAGAUCAGUAAAUACAAACCAAGACAAGCUUGAAGUUCUUGGAUAUAAAUUAACCUUGAAUAAGUGUCUGGCCUAAAUAGCAUAUCAAUCAAAUUGGACAUAAAAGGAGAUGAGAAAAAGAGUUUUUUUUUUCAACAAGUGAAAGUAACCAAAAAGUAAACCCCACAUAGAGAUGCAAUAUCAAGCUUAAUGUUGAGCUCAACUGCCCAAGUCAAAUUCUUGCCACAUGAAGUAGCACAGAGAAACUUUAGCCCACUGAACCAAUGUCUGAGAAAGUACCAAACAAGAGAGUUUGGGAUAAACUAUGGCAUUGUUUAAAGAACUCUAAAAUAAUCCCAAACUUAUGAUGAAACAAAUAUUAAUUACUUCACCAAUGUUUAACCCAAGUUAUAUUAAGGAACAUGACAUGAUAACAUUGGUUAUUUCCACUUCAAAGAAUGAAUGAAAGGCAUGAAAAUUAUGUAAUUCAUAUUCAAACCAGCUAAAGCAUGCAUGUCACCCAUGCCCUCUAUGUGGGGCCUACUUGUUGGUUACUUUCACUUCUUGUUGGGGAAAGAAAAAAGACUCAAGCUUAAUGUUGAGCUUAACCGCCAGAGUCAAAUUCUUGCCACAUGAAGGAGCACAAUAGAACUUUCGCCCACUAGACCAAUGUUUAAGAAAGUACUAUGCAAAGGGGUUUGGGAUAAACUAUGGUAUCAUUUAAAGAACUUUA
Molecule: long non-coding RNA, 1834 nt
Organism: Populus euphratica (Euphrates poplar)
Lineage: Eukaryota; Viridiplantae; Streptophyta; Magnoliopsida; Malpighiales; Salicaceae
Exons: 2
Source: RefSeq, a predicted model, not a curated record